GUCUGUAGCUGUGUCGCCGGCGGCUGCGGGGCCUCUGGGUUGCUUUCCCUCUCGCUCCCGAGUGCCGCGAGUUCCAGGCGGUCCCCGGGAUCGCCAGCGGCACAGGGCCCCAGCCCUUCGCCCGCGCAUCGGGAUGGGGGUCCUAGCCGGUGGGAGCUGCCUGUCCCUCGAGCGCCAGCUACCCGCGUUGUCCAGCGCUCCGGCCUCGGCCCGGCCCUCCUGCCUCCUGGCUGUUAGGUUCUGAAUGUUCCGGAAAUGCCACGUGACCGCGAGGGCGCUUGGGCUUGGGCUGGACAGGCCGGGGAUCUCACCGCGGCGGGCCCGGCUGUCCCGCUUGGGCGUCCUCAGUGGAACCGCACACCCUUUCUCAGCGCGCCGGUCGUUUGGUCCUGUAGGGCCGAGGGGAAUUCGUGCGGUGUUGAGCACGCGGGAAGCACUUAACGAAAGGGAGCUGCCCCUCAGCCCUCGUGAGUCCGAUGUAAAGGAGUGAAGGAGACGAAGAACUGAAUCAGUAGUUGACCGCCUGUGAGCUGGCGAGCUGUGCCCUGGUAGGGCCUUAAAUCCCAGCCCCAGAAGUCGGAGGCAGGGCAGGCACCCCAAAGCGUGGAAGAGAUGCACCUGCGGAGUGAAAAUGCUGCUAUUGCUUCUAGGGUCAGCCUUGGUUCCUGGAACAAAGGAGCCGCAUGACUCGGGUCUGGCGAUGAUGUUGGGCUCUGCAGUGUCCUCAUCCUUCCCCCUCUCUGGGUAAUGAUAUCUUCCCAGGGUUUAAAGUGUGUCCUCUCUGCCAGUAGCUUGUCUCCACAGCCUCAUCUUUAAUUCCACCUGCCCCACCCAUUUUGGACACUGCAGCCAAGUUGCAGCAGAUCCGCAAACCUGGUAAUCCCUCACUUGAAAGUGCUGGAGGCUUUAGGAUGGGGUUCAGGGCCUGUGCAAUCUAACCGCCUGCUUUUUUUUUUUUUUUUUUUUUUUUUUUUUUGAGACGGAGUCGAAUCUCACUGUCUCCCAGGCUGGAGUGCAGUGGCGCCAUCACAGCUCAUUGCAGCCUCAACCUCCUGAGCUCAAGCCAUCCUCCCACCUCAGCCUCCCAAGUACCUGGGGUUACAGGCAAGCACCAUUACGCCUAGCUAAUUUUUCUGGGUUUUUUUUUUUUGUUUUUUUUUUUGUAUAGAUGGAUUUCGCCAUGUUGUCCAGGCUGGUCUUAAACUCUCGCUCUGUCUCCCAGGCUAGAGUGCAGUGGGGCAAUCUCGGCUCCCUGCAACCUCUGCCUCCUGGGUUCAAGCAAUUAUCCUGCCUCAGCCUACCAGUUAGCUGGGAUUACAUGUGUGCGCCACCGCGCCCGGCUAAUUUUUUUAUUUUUAGUAGAGGCGGGGUUUCACCAUGUUGACCAGGCUGGUCUCAAGACUACUGACCUCAAGUGAUCCCCCCCCCCCCCCGCGGCCUCCCAAAGUGCUGGGAUUACAG
Molecule: long non-coding RNA, 1461 nt
Filed under: Homo sapiens (human)
Lineage: Eukaryota; Metazoa; Chordata; Mammalia; Primates; Hominidae
Source: RNAcentral